AGAGCUGUAGCUUAGUGGUCAAGCACUUGCCUCGCAUGUAUGAAGCACUGGGUUCGAUCCUCAGCACCUCCU
Molecule: transfer RNA, 72 nt
Filed under: Ictidomys tridecemlineatus (thirteen-lined ground squirrel)
Lineage: Eukaryota; Metazoa; Chordata; Mammalia; Rodentia; Sciuridae
Description: Spermophilus tridecemlineatus (thirteen-lined ground squirrel) tRNA
Rfam family: tRNA
About the family: Transfer RNA (tRNA) molecules are approximately 80 nucleotides in length. Their secondary structure includes four short double-helical elements and three loops (D, anti-codon, and T loops).
Source: Rfam by way of RNAcentral